Molecule: ribosomal RNA, 482 nt
Filed under: uncultured bacterium
Lineage: Bacteria
Description: partial 16S ribosomal RNA
Rfam family: Bacterial small subunit ribosomal RNA
Source: RNAcentral
GACGAACGUUGGCGGCGUGCUUAAUACAUGCAAGUCAACUGAAGCAGUGGUAGCAAUAUCGCUGUGGAGGUGGCGCACGGGUGAGUAACACGUAGGUAAUCUGCCUUCAGGUCUGGCAUAACUCCGGGAAACCGGGGCUAAUAGCAGAUGAUGCAGCGGCUCGACAUCGAGACAGUUGUUAAAGCUAUGGCGCCUGAAGAUGAGCCUGCGUCUGAUUAGCUAGUUGGCGGGGUAACGGCCCACCAAGGCAACGAUCAGUAGCUGGUCUGAGAGGAUGAUCAGACACACUGGAACUGAGACACGGUCCAGACUCCUACGGGAGGCAGCAGUAAGGAAUAUUGCUCAAUGGGAGAGAUCCUGAAGCAGCAACGCCGCGUAAGGGACGAAGGGCUUUUGCUUGUAAACCUCUGUAGUGAGAGAAAAAAAUCCCAAUCUUUGGGACAUGAUGGUAUCUCAAAAGUAAGCCCCGGCUAACUACGUGC